This 253-nucleotide ribosomal RNA is filed under the name uncultured Adhaeribacter sp. RNAcentral describes it as "partial 16S ribosomal RNA". It matches the Rfam family "Bacterial small subunit ribosomal RNA", at positions 524 to 776 of the family's 1533-position model. The record is from RNAcentral. Lineage: Bacteria; Pseudomonadati; Bacteroidota; Cytophagia; Cytophagales; Hymenobacteraceae.
UACGGAGGGUGCAAGCGUUGUCCGGAUUUAUUGGGUUUAAAGGGUGCGUAGGCGGCCCUGUAAGUCAGUGGUGAAAGCCUCCAGCUCAACUGGAGAACUGCCAUUGAUACUGCAGGGCUUGAGUACAGACGAGGUUGGCGGAAUUGAUGGUGUAGCGGUGAAAUGCAUAGAUACCAUCAAGAACUCCGAUUGCGUAGGCAGCUAACUAGGCUGUAACUGACGCUGGGGCACGAAAGCGUGGGGAGCGAACGGG